UGGGGAAUAUUGGGCAAUGGGGGAAACCCUGACCCAGCGACGCCGCGUGAGGGAAGAAGGUUCUAGGAUUGUAAACCUCUGUCCUUGGUGAAGAGAAGAAGACGGUAGCCAAGGAGGAAGCCCCGGCUAACUACGUGCCAGCAGCCGCGGUAAUACGUAGGGGGCGAGCGUUGUCCGGAAUGAUUGGGCGUAAAGGGCGCGUAGGCGGCUUGGUAAGUCUGGAGUGAAAGUCCUGCUUUUAAGGGAGGAAUUGCUUUGGAAACUGCCGGGCUUGAGUGCAGGAGAGGUUAUCGGAAUUCCCGGUGUAGCGGUGAAAUGCGUAGAGAUCGGGAGGAACACCAGUGGCGAAGGCGGGUAACUGGACUGCAACUGACGCUGAGGCGCGAAAGUGUGGGGAGCAAACA
This 404-nucleotide ribosomal RNA is filed under the name uncultured bacterium. Its description in RNAcentral is "bacterial SSU rRNA". It matches the Rfam family "Bacterial small subunit ribosomal RNA", at positions 355 to 774 of the family's 1533-position model. The record is from RNAcentral.